This 497-nucleotide ribosomal RNA is filed under the name uncultured bacterium. RNAcentral's name for it is "partial 16S ribosomal RNA". It matches the Rfam family "Bacterial small subunit ribosomal RNA", at positions 28 to 507 of the family's 1533-position model. The record is from RNAcentral.
GAUGAACGCUGGCGGCGUGCCUAAUACAUGCAAGUCGAACGAACAGACGCUGCUCUUGGUCCACUCACGUUACCAACGGACGGGUGAGUCACAGGUGGAUAACCCACCUCUUAGACUUAGGUCACGUCGAGUAGCCGUAGCUCAGACUAGAAGAUAUAUUUAGCGUGAUGGUUGGAUAGUUAAUUAGGUGUUUGCUGAGCCUGAGAGAUAGAUGCGCGCUGGAGGAGUGAGGUGGUACGGUAGCGGCUUGGCAAGGCAACGAUGCGUAGCCGACCUGCGAGCGGGAACCGCGACACUGAGACUGAGACACGGUCCAGACUCCUACGGGAGGCAGCAGUAGGGAAUCGUCGGAGAUGGGCGAAAGCCUGACGGAGCAGCGCCGCGUGAGUGAUGAAGGUCCUCGGAUCGUAAAACUCUGUUAUGAGGGAAGAACAAAUGUGUAAGUAACGAAGCAUGUCUUGACGGUACCUAAACAGAAAGCCACGGCUAACUACGUG